RNAcentral lists this ribosomal RNA (492 nucleotides) under uncultured bacterium. Its description in RNAcentral is "partial 16S ribosomal RNA". It matches the Rfam family "Bacterial small subunit ribosomal RNA", at positions 29 to 507 of the family's 1533-position model. The record is from RNAcentral.
AGUGAACGCUGGCGGUAGGCCUAACACAUGCAAGUCGAACGGCAGCACAGUAAGAGCUUGCUCUUACGGGUGGCGAGUGGCGGACGGGUGAGGAAUACAGCGGAAUCUACUUUUUCGUGGGGGAUAACGUAGGGAAACUUACGCUAAUACCGCAUACGACCUACGGGUGAAAGCAUGGGAUCUUCGGACCUUGCGCGAUUGAAUGAGCCGAUGUCGGAUUAGCUAGUUGGCGGGGUAAAGGCCCACCAAGGCGACGAUCCGUAGCUGGUCUGAGAGGAUGAUCAGCCACACUGGAACUGAGACACGGUCCAGACUCCUACGGGAGGCAGCAGUGGGGAAUAUUGGACAAUGGGCGCAAGCCUGAUCCAGCCAUACCGCGUGGGUGAAGAAGGCCUUCGGGUUGUAAAGCCCUUUUGUUGGGAAAGAAAAGCAGCAGGUUAAUACCCCGCUGUUCUGACGGUACCCAAAGAAUAAGCACCGGCUAACUUCGUG